Cavia porcellus (domestic guinea pig) is the source of this 119-nucleotide small nucleolar RNA. The record is from Ensembl. Lineage: Eukaryota; Metazoa; Chordata; Mammalia; Rodentia; Caviidae.
CUGGCCCUGAAUCAAGACCAGCAGCUUCCUGACACUGUUGGUUUCAAACAGGAGCCUAAAUCGUCUGUUGGCCAUUUCAGAACUUGGACAGUGAAAUGGUCAAUUCAUUAGAAACAGCU